GACGAACGCUGGCGGCGUGCUUAACACAUGCAAGUCGAACGGAAAGGCCCUGCUUUUGUGGGGUGCUCGAGUGGCGAACGGGGGAGAAACACGUGAGUAACCUGCCCUUGACUUUGGGAUAACUCCAGGAAACUGGGGCUAAUACCGGAUAGGAGCUCCUGCUCCAGGGGGGGGGUUGGAAAGUUUCGGCGGUUGGGGAUGGACUCGCGGCUUAUCAGCUUGUUGGUGGGGUAGUGGCUUACCAGGCCUUUGACGGGUAGCCGGCCUGAGAGGGUGACCGGCCACAUUGGGACUGAGAUACGGCCCAGACUCCUACGGGAGGCAGCAGUGGGGAAUAUUGCACAAUGGGCGGAAGCCUGAUGCAGCAACGCCGCGUGCGGGAUGACGGCCUUCGGGUUGUAAACCGCUUUCGCCUGUGACGAAGCGUGAGUGACGGUAAUGGGUAAAGAAGCACCGGCUAACUACGUG
Molecule: ribosomal RNA, 468 nt
Filed under: uncultured bacterium
Lineage: Bacteria
Description: partial 16S ribosomal RNA
Rfam family: Bacterial small subunit ribosomal RNA
Source: RNAcentral